GCCGGGUGUGAUGGCUCACUCCUGUAAUCCCAGCGGCUUGGGAGGCUGAGGCAAGAGGAUUGCGAGUUCAAAGCCAGCCUUAGCCAAAGCGAGGCUGCUAAGCAACUCAGUGAGACCCUGUCUCUA
This 126-nucleotide small RNA is filed under the name Marmota monax (woodchuck). The record is from RNAcentral. Lineage: Eukaryota; Metazoa; Chordata; Mammalia; Rodentia; Sciuridae.